GGCGGAGAAACGUGCACUUUCACUUCGCAGAGAAGAGCCAUUAUUAUAACCCGUUUUGACGCAGUUUAAAGGCAAAUCGGACAUAAACGCACCGACGAUGCUGCUUCAUUUAUGUGCUCGUACUGUUGACCCGUCCAGUCUCUCUCCAUCAGGUUGUUGAAGUCACUGAAGGAGGCGCUGUCAUCUUGAAGUGCAGUCAAGAAAGUAUUGUACUUGAAGAUAAACCGCUGACGGUCC
This is a long non-coding RNA of Carassius carassius (crucian carp), 237 nucleotides long. RefSeq lists it as uncharacterized. Lineage: Eukaryota; Metazoa; Chordata; Actinopteri; Cypriniformes; Cyprinidae. The record is from RefSeq and is a predicted model, not a curated record. The transcript has 3 exons.